This 254-nucleotide ribosomal RNA is filed under the name uncultured bacterium. RNAcentral describes it as "partial 16S ribosomal RNA". It matches the Rfam family "Bacterial small subunit ribosomal RNA", at positions 524 to 776 of the family's 1533-position model. The record is from RNAcentral.
UACGUAGGGUGCGAGCGUUGUCCGGAAUUAUUGGGCGUAAAGAGCUCGUAGGCGGUGUGUCACGUCGGCCGUGAAAACCUGGGGCUUAACUCUGGGCGUGCGGUCGAUACGGGCAUCACUAGAGUUCGGCAGGGGAGACUGGAAUUCCUGGUGUAGCGGUGAAAUGCGCAGAUAUCAGGAGGAACACCUAUAGCGAAGGCAGCUCGCUGGUACGACACUGACGCUAAGGCGCGAAAGCGUGGGGAGCGAACAGG